Non-coding RNA from Pogona vitticeps (central bearded dragon), 900 nucleotides. The record is from RefSeq and is a predicted model, not a curated record. NCBI's taxonomy places the organism in Eukaryota, Metazoa, Chordata, Lepidosauria, Squamata, Agamidae.
CUCAACAUUUCUUUACCUGCUUUCAGGAAAACUGGGUAGCAGCAGCUCCCAUUAUGUAUCUUAAAAAAUUGUUACAUAUUUUGAUAGGUUUCUUGCUUUUGGUAAUUCUGUGCAAUGAUUAUGCCCUGCAGUUGCUUUAACAGUUCAGAUGUACUAGGGUUACACAAGAUUUAUGAGACAGAACAAUAAGCUGUAGCUGCCUGUUCUAUAGUGGUUUAUGAAUAAUACAAAGGAUGUAGUGUAAUACCGGUAUAGCUGUGCUUUUGAUUGAUGAGAGUUCAGAUUAUUUAGCUGACUGAUUCCAUUUUGUAUUUUAAAUCUGGGCAUAUGUAUUAUUAAGGUAUGUAUUAUGAAGACUGUAGUUGGACAUAUGAUUUUACAUCUUAUUUUCAAGACCAGGCCUCAUUGUUUUUGUUUCUGUCUGUCUUGCUUUAGACUCUCCCAGAGAACUUCAGUGACUGUAAACAGAAAAAGAAGGGGCUGGUAAAGAAGGUACAGGCUUUCCUUGCACAGUGUGAUACAGUAGAAGGAAGUAUUGGUCAAGAAAUGGAUAAAUUACAGUCGAAGAACAUGGCCCUAGCAGAAUGAGGCACAUUUUAAAGUAACUACAAAAAAUAAUUGCUCUGUGAGCAAGAAGAAGAGUUUGCUCUUGAUUUCUGGAGCACCUGUUUAGUGUUCAGAAUUUUAUUUUAGGAAAAGUCCUGUAAGGCUCUUGCAUGUUGGCUGCUGCUUACUGAUUCUUACGUGGUCUGCUCAGAUUUAAAGCCUUUAUUUAAAAAAAAAAUCUGCAGUUUUUCUUGGAUAAAUUCAUAACGUCACUGUACGAACAUGUUUCAGUUAACUAAAUGUUGCUUUAGUUUAUAAAUCAUCAAGAGCAAUAAAGAACUCCUGUGCUAUUGA